GAUGAACGCUGACAGAAUGCUUAACACAUGCAAGUCGAUGGGGAAGUGGUGCUUGCACCAUGGCAACCCUGGCGGACGGGUGAGUAACGCGUAAGGGACUUACCUGCAGGACUGGGAUAACAGGGGGAAACUCCUGACAAGACCGGAUAAUGUCAUGGAGCUGCAUGGCUUUAUGAUGAAAGGAGACGCCUGCGGAGAGCCUUGCGUCCUAUUAGCUAGUUGGUGAGGUAAUGGCUCACCAAGGCGAAGAUGGGUAGCCGGCCUGCGGGGGGGGGCGCCCACAGGGGGAAGAGAAAACGGCCUCUACUACUAGGGGGGGCAGCAGGGGGGAAUAUUGGACAAUGGGGGCAACCCUGAUCCAGCAAUUCUGGGGGAAAGAAGAAGGUUUUCGGAUUGAAAAGUGCUUUCGGAAGGGAAGAAGUAAGGGACGGUACCUGGAAAAAAAGCGCCGGCUAAAUACGU
This 462-nucleotide ribosomal RNA is filed under the name uncultured bacterium. Its description in RNAcentral is "partial 16S ribosomal RNA". It matches the Rfam family "Bacterial small subunit ribosomal RNA", at positions 28 to 506 of the family's 1533-position model. The record is from RNAcentral.